GCCCGGAUGGUGGAACUGGUAGACACAAGGGACUUAAAAUCCCUCGGCUUUGCGGCCAUGCCGGUUCGAUUCCGGCUCCGGGCACCA
Molecule: transfer RNA, 87 nt
Filed under: Candidatus Adiutrix sp.
Lineage: Bacteria; Pseudomonadati; Thermodesulfobacteriota; Desulfarculia; Candidatus Adiutricales; Candidatus Adiutricaceae
Description: tRNA-Leu
Rfam family: tRNA
About the family: Transfer RNA (tRNA) molecules are approximately 80 nucleotides in length. Their secondary structure includes four short double-helical elements and three loops (D, anti-codon, and T loops).
Source: RNAcentral